Molecule: long non-coding RNA, 1067 nt
Organism: Eptesicus fuscus (big brown bat)
Lineage: Eukaryota; Metazoa; Chordata; Mammalia; Chiroptera; Vespertilionidae
Exons: 3
Source: RefSeq, a predicted model, not a curated record
CACUGCUCUUCCCACCAGUUUCCUGUAGAAGAGCAGAGGAAGACAGCCUGAGGGGCCAUCACGGCAGGAAGCCAGUGAGAGGGAAGCUCUGCUUCCCAAAUGCAGUGUGGCGUGUGCCUCUUAGGUGUCACGUGGGGUCCAGGCUGAAAGAUGUGAUGUGCAAAAGCCUCAAGUGCUCCCAUGCAGCACCAGCUGCUGCGGGGCAGCCAGGCCUCCAUGCACCAGAAGCACCAGUGCCUGGAGAGCUGCGGUGCUCAGGCUCUGGUGACCCGUCCAUUAGGAGAAGCUUCAGGACCAGCCAGCCUGGUGCACCUGCAUUGCAACAACAAAGCCAAGGGUCAGAUGGAUGCAGGGGGCAAGUGUGUAGAUUACCUGGGACUAGAAUGGCCUUAAAUCUCUGAGACAGACUGAAUGCUAAUAAACAGGUUGCUGAUCCUAAAAUAAAAUUGCAAGUUGGGUUUGGAGUUUGAUGAAAGACACAGAGAGGAAGGAAGAGGAAGAGAAAUAGAAACAUCAAUGAUGAGAGUAUUGAUCAGCUGCCUCCUGCACUUGCCCAUUGGGGAUCGAACUUGUAACUGGGGCAUGUGCCCUGACCAGGAAUCCAACUGAGCCGUGACCUCCUGGGUCAUGGGUCGACGUUCAACCACUGAGCCAUACCAGCCGGGCUUGUUAUUAUUUUAUCUUUUGACUGAAUAAGACUGGCUGAAGACAGCUGAGUGUAAAACAGAGAGGAAAUUAGCUGGGACAGGUACUGAAGGAGGUGGAGCCCCAUCAAAAGCAAAGUGUGAAAGAAAUUUCAUUCACCAAAGUCAAGGUGAAAGUCAGGCUGAACCCAGAGAGAACAGGAAGAUGAGCCUGCAGUGGGAGCUGGGAUGCAGCUAAGAAGGGAGUGCCAUUGGGGAAGACUGGCCAUCUGUAUAUCCUAUUUUGCUCAUUUUUAAAUUAGAUUGUUUGUCAUUUUUGGUGUUUAGUUGUAUACUUUUAAAAAAGAUAAGUUUUGUAUAUUAAUCCCUUAUUAGAUGUAUCAUUGGUGAAUAUGCUCUCCCAUUCAGUGGGUUGUCUUUUCA